Molecule: ribosomal RNA, 453 nt
Filed under: uncultured Castellaniella sp.
Lineage: Bacteria; Pseudomonadati; Pseudomonadota; Betaproteobacteria; Burkholderiales; Alcaligenaceae
Description: bacterial SSU rRNA
Rfam family: Bacterial small subunit ribosomal RNA
Source: RNAcentral
ACAAGCGGUGAUGAUGUGAUUAAUUCGAUGCAACGCGAAAACCUUACCUACCCUUGACAUGUCCGGAAUCCCGAAGAGAUUUGGGAGUGCUCGCAAGAGAACCGGAACACAGGUGCUGCAUGGCUGUCGUCAGCUCGUGUCGUGAGAUGUUGGGUUAAGUCCCGCAACGAGCGCAACCCUUGUCAUUAGUUGCUACAUUCAGUUGGGCACUCUAAUGAGACUGCCGGUGACAAGCCGGAGGAAGGUGGGAUGACGUCAAGUCCUCAUGGCCCUUACAUCCCGGGCUACACACGUGCUACAAUGGCAGGUACAGAGGGCUGCGAAGCCGCGAGGUGGAGCGAAUCCCAGAAAGCCGAUCGUAGUCCGGAUUGUUCUCUGCAACUCGAGAGCAUGAAGUCGGAAUCGCUAGUAAUCGCGGAUCAGCAUGUCGCGGUGAAUACGUUCCCGGGUCUU